ACUCUGCGACUGUGAGGAGGGGACGCCUGUGUGUCUGGUGGUUACACACCCCGGGGACAACCCUGGACCUUCUUCACAUGGAAUAGACAGCAGAUGAUAUAAACCCUUGGUCCCCUACGGGGUCAGGACGAGAGACCCAAUUCGGUAAAGAAUGAGCGGGAAAAGGAAAGAAAACCUCUGGUGAAACAGGAGCCUGGGCUUGAGCAGCCUCCGGGUUUACUAUUAGCUAUGACUUUGGACAAGAGAUUUAAUCUCUCGGAGCCUCGGUUUUCUCAUCGGUAAAAAAGGAAUACCAGCAGAAUGAGCCCUCGCUGCCUUCCCGGGGCUGUGUGGAGAGUGCCCGUGGUGCUGACUCUGGCCACUCACUCUUGGUUGCCACCUGCUGAGCCGUCCAGGCAGGGAUCUGAGUCAUUCUGACCCGGCCCGCCCGUCAGAUGCCACAGAAGUCGGACUGGUGGCCCUAGGGCAGCUGGAGCCUGAGAGAGCAGGCAAAGGGUCCAGGCAGGGAUCACUGCACGUCAAGCCGUGGAUUGCUCCCGCCCUGAACCGCCAUGUCACUGUCCUGAACGUGAGACUGCUCAGCCUCUCAAGCGCAUGGUCCCCAGAGCAGAGGCACUGGGUUUCCUCCCCGCUCAGAGACGGCUUGGCAGCUGCAGCGCCUCCUGCAGGCGCUCUCUGAGGCUGGGGACACUGGGGGAGGACAGCGCAGCGGGCAGUUUGGUGGGCUUGGGAGUCAGAUCCUGGGUUCCGUUCCUGGCUUUGCCACUCCCUGGUUGUGUGGUCCUGGGCAUGCUAUUUAGUAUCUUGCUAAACCUCAAUUUCCUCGUCUGUGAAAUAGGGAAAAUAUUAGCACCUAACUCCCAGGACUGUGUUAGGGUUUAACAAGGUAAGAACUUUAUCUCAGGGCAAGCACUGGGCCCAGGGCCUGGCGAAUAGUCACUGAUUACUAACUGCUAGCUCAGAUUAGCAUGUCAUCCCCCGACAGUGGGCAGAAGCUGCCAAAGGAGAACCCUGGGAAAGGCACCAUGUCUGAGGGGCAGGAGAGAGGUGCCACUUUGUGUCCACAGGCCCUGGAGCCCACAUGCCUCUGCCAGCCUUCUACUAGAACUUGGUGUGCAAUUUGACUACCCAAAAAGAAAGGAGGAAAAGGAACCCACAGCAAACCUCACAUAACCCCAAAAGGGGAUUUCAGAUUUCAACCCGUGCCUUUCAUCCACAGCAGGGCGGACUUGCCACUGUGCUGCUUGGCAAACACUUCUCCCGUUUCCUCCCCGGGAGCACCCUCUGCUGUGAAGACCGGGCAAGUCCUCCAGCUUGUCUGCCUGCCUCUCCAGCUGGAGUUAGGGCCUGGCCUGAGGGGCAUGAAGGGGUGGAAGCGCCUCCAGGUUGACUUUGAAAGGAUGAAAGCAAGGUCUGGAGAGGACAGGGGUGGGCCCUGGACUCUCAGUGUGGGUGUCUCUGCACCAUGCCACUCUGCCCUCUUCCAGAAGAGCUGGGAGUCAAGGGAGAGGGGGCCAGAACCUCCGUCUGACCAGCACAGAUGGGACUGUCAGAUUAAAGGACUGCUGCCAAGACGAGGGGUCUGAAUGAGGUACUGGUGUUCUCAAUCAGAGGAAACACACACACACACACACACACACACACACACUGGCAUUACUCAAGAGAGGUGUGACCUCUGGACUACCUUCCCCGAAUGAAGGGGCCUAGAGAACUGAGAGUUGGAAGCAAAUGCAUCGCGGAGACAAAGAGGCUUGAGGCAUUGGGGUGGACACAGCGCAGGAGCCCUGACUGUGUACCUGCAACCCUCGGGGUGAGCCACCAGAUCCCUUCCAAGAUCAAGGCCCUCUCUCUGGCUGCUGGGAGUGUUGGUUUCUGACUACUCCUACCUGUGUCCUUCUCGGGAAGUGCCCUUAUCCAAAGGAGACUGCCUAAGCUUACGCCCCACCCCGGGCAUGGGCCACAUUCAGUGGCUGCCCCAGUAGGGGUGCAGGGCCCUGUGCCCCCUUGCCUUGAUCUGGGACACCUGAAGGGCCACCUGGCUCUCAAGCUUUCCAGGCCGAGACCAUUUCAGGACUGCACCAGAGUUCAGCGUCUGCCUCUGCCCGAUCCCGCCCUCUCCUCCCUGAGAGCUCUCCCCAGUAAAACUCCUGCACACACAUCUGAGUCUGCUUCCUGGGACCUUGACCUAUUUUGCUCAUCUGUCAUUCUUUCACCCAUUUGUCCUUUUUUACAGUCACUUACUGAGCACCCACCAGGCAUGGCCAAUGAAUGGACCAGGGAGGAUCUCUGUACUCCUUCCCAGAGCUCUGUCUGUGGCCUUGAAGACUCCUUCCUCAUUUCUACGUAGCAAGAAAACAGAAGCAGGCAUCCCACCCCACCACCGGGAUUCCUGGGAGAAGUGGGCUGUUUUAAGCCAGAAUCCCCCUGGGAAUCUGCGGGCAUGCGAUAGCUGGUAGCUGCAGCAUGUAGCCUACUCCAACCCCACAGUUACCUCAUGAAGAAAAGCAGGUCUCACCUUUUAUUGAGCACCAUGUUCCCGAGCUUCAGGUCUCUGUGCACAAUGUUUUUCUGGAAGACAACAAAAUGGUUUGCACCAUGAAGGUGAGUGAGGGCUGGGGGCGGCCCAGCCAGCAAGGUGUUUGGGAAGGUGGGAUAAAACUCUGUGACAUGCCUUUUAAGGCUCUGCCUUGAUUUGUAAGCCCCAGACAGACCAGGACUAUUCUAAGACCUCAUUAGCCAUGUGUAUGGAUGGGGUAAUAGGUGAGCUUAGGCAAUCUCUGCCCCACCCAGGGCGGGUUCCCAGCUUUAUCCGCUCAGGGCAGCAGCCAGUGGGAAAACCCAGUCCUUUCUCCACCUCUAUCAAACUUCUUAUUGAAAACUAAGCAUCUGCCUGGAGCCGGAAUCAGAGAUGAACUCUCCUGACUCUGGAGACCAAGUCUGCAGGCUUGGCCCACAGAAGCUGUGAGUCUGCAAGAGGCUCUCCUAACCUGGGCAUUGGGGUACUUGACACCUCCAAUCCUAGGAAAAGCUCAGAGGUAGGCUGUGGCCCCAGUGGAUAUCUCACAGUCAGCACCCAAGAUGGGAGGCUCAUGUUUAGCUCCUUGCCUGAGAGGGAUCCCUGCUCUGGGCUCUGCUCCGUGCCCAUUGCGCCCCCCCCCCCCCC
Myotis lucifugus (little brown bat) is the source of this 3163-nucleotide long non-coding RNA. RefSeq lists it as uncharacterized. The record is from RefSeq and is a predicted model, not a curated record. NCBI's taxonomy places the organism in Eukaryota, Metazoa, Chordata, Mammalia, Chiroptera, Vespertilionidae. The transcript has 4 exons.